GGCCCAUGGAAGUCGGAAUCCGCUAAGGAGUGUGUAACAACUCACCUGCCGAAGCAACUAGCCCUGAAAAUGGAUGGCGCUUAAGCGUUGUGCCUAUACCCGGCCGCCGGUGGCAGAGAGGGGGUGCCUUCGGGUGCUUUCCGCGAAGCCCCGGUGAGUAGGAGGGCCGCGACGGUGAGCGCAGAAGGGUCUGGGCGUGAGCCUGCCUGGAGCCGCCGUCGGUGCAGAUCUUGGUGGUAGUAGCAAAUACUCCAGCGAGGCCCUGGAGGACUGAUGUGGAGAAGGGUUCCGUGUGAACAGCCGUUGCACACGGGUCAGUCGAUCCUAAGCCCUAGGAGAAAUCCGAUGUUGAUGGUCGCGGGAUGUUCCUGCUUAUGUUUGCAAGCGUGCCGCUUUGUCAGGCGAAUGGCCGUAGAUGGUUUCGGUGGAAAGCUUGCCGGUCGGUUCUAAGGUCGCGCUCGUAAGGGAGCAGGAAUGGUGAGUCUUCGAGCUCCCUCCUCGUUCUCCCCCGGAGGCGACCGUUCCGACCAACGGGGGCACACAAACCGAAGACUUGUCGGUCAGUCUGGGCGAGCCUUGGUUCGCGCCUUCUACGGACUAAUUGUUCGUCUAUCUUUCAUCUCGGUCGACGUAUCCGAUGGAUGACCUCUCGCUCUACUUGUAACCUUGCCAUCGAGUUUUGUAGAAGAGUACGCAUCACUAUGCCAGUCGGCGCCGCUUCUCGCGGUCGUCGUCUGGAGAAGCUGUCGUAUUCUCUUCCUGGCUCUCGGGGGGGUUAUGUUGUACUGUUUCGAGCAAGGUUUGUUCUUGACGAUGAAGACCGGGAAAAGCGACGAAAACCGUGCUGGCGGAUCGCGAGGUGUGGCUGAGUAAUGAGGCCCCGCGCAAACUUGAACGACAANCUAGCGAACUAGCACCCCGUCCGUCGGGCGAAAGGGAAUCUGGUUCCUAUUCCAGAACCCGGUUGCGGAACCGCACUCACGAUCCUCGUAUUUACACGGUAACGUGAUAGACCCCAGAGAAGCCGUCUGGAGCCCCGGGAAGAGUUUUCUUUUCUGCCUGAGCGUUCGGGUUCCAUGGAAACCUCUAGCAGGGAGAUAUGGAAUGGAGCGCGAAGAGCACCGCAGUUGCUGCGGUGUCCGGGGAGUCCCGUCGGUCCUUGAAAAUCUGGGUGAGGGUCACGUGGAGGCGCCGCACCGGCUCGUACCCAUAUCCGCAGCAGGUCUCCAAGGUCAAGAGCCUCUAGUCGAUGGAC
RNAcentral lists this ribosomal RNA (1255 nucleotides) under Nesameletus ornatus. RNAcentral's name for it is "partial 28S ribosomal RNA". It matches the Rfam family "Eukaryotic large subunit ribosomal RNA", at positions 1249 to 1895 of the family's 3401-position model. Lineage: Eukaryota; Metazoa; Arthropoda; Insecta; Ephemeroptera; Nesameletidae. The record is from RNAcentral.